AAAAGGGAGAAAAUACAAAGAAAAAGGGACAGGAAGAUGUGUAAAAGGGACAGAAGAGAAAAAGGGAGAGAGAUGAUGUGAAAAAGGGGCAGGAAGAGAGGGACAACAGGUAAAACAAAUAAUACAUGUGUCUUAUGUUUAAAAUGUAUCUGUAUAAUUGACCUGUAUUGUGUGUUGUCUUCUCAUGUCAGCGCCACAACAUAGAGGACAGCUUCUACUGGCUUGCUGCUACCCACCUCUGCCACCUGAGCUGUGUAAAGGUAAAUCAUCUCUCACAUACACAGUCAUGCAAUUACGACUUAUCUAUUGAAAUCUGUAGGCAGCAGUGGCUCAGGAAGUGGAGCGGGUCGUCCAAUAAUCAAUGGUUUGGCGGUUCGAAUCACAGUCUCUCCCUUCGUAGUGUCUUUGGGCAAAAAAAUAAUAAUUUGAUGUAUGUGAUCCAUCGUAAGUAUUCUAUCAAAUUUCUUAAAUCUGCCACUGGGUGGUGCACGAGCUCAACUCUGGGUCAACCUACUCCGAGUUGAUUGAACCAACUCUAAAAAGCUGUUCUGAAGCCCAAAACUCAGAGUUCCCAUCUCAGGGUAAAUCAACUCAGGGUUUGUUAAACCUCCUAUUGAAAUGGACCCCAGUCCAUCGAAGAAAAAAAACAGCUGUAUUAUUGAGUAAAGAAUCAUUGUCAACGACAGCUUGAGGUUGUGUGUUCCCUGUGUGUUAUUUAUAAUAAAUAAACAUUUAUUUAUUAUAAAAGGUACACACUGUGCUUUAUUGACGACAGUAUGUGUUGGAGGAAACAUGAGAGAGUGUUAGGAGAGCGGCUCCGACCCCCAACGCAUGUGGCCAGGCAUCCAGGCCAUCAUGACCAUAAGGCAACCAACUCUACCCCCCGAAACAGUGACGCCUCCUUCCCUGACGAGCUGAGCAGCUUUUACGCUCGCGUCGACAGGGACAAUGAGGACGUGGCCUGUACAUCUCCUUGAAUGACAUGUUGCAGUAAAGUACAUUUACACCAUUUAAAGCCCUCAAAGACUCUCACACUAAACUUACCAGGUAUGAUGAUAAAUACAAAAGAGCAGUAUGAUGUAAAGACACACUGUAGAUUGCUGGUGUGAUGAUGGUGUGAUAUUUGAGCCUCUUCUCCUCUGUCUCCUCUCACAGGGAGGAGAUGAUCUGCAGGAUCCUGGUGAUCUUCAUCCUGACCUCCUGUGUCUGUGCAGGGUCAUUUGUAGUCAAUGUGACACAGAGCUGGUAUCAUGCAGAGGAGAACCACAACGUCUCACUGGAAUGGAUGUUCCCCACCAGCACGGACCACUCCACCAACUCCCUUUAUGUCUCAUGCGAGAUGUUAGUUGAUAUGAUACCAUUACUCAUGUUUCAUCUACAUAAAGGUGUUGAGUUCCCAGAGUUGCAGGACAAACGCUUUGCAGGACGAGUCCAGUGGGACAAAGACGUCCUCGGAGAAGGACAACUCAGACUUCACAUCUCCAGACUCCAGACUAAUGACUCGGGGCUGUACUGGUGUGAAGUGGACACAAGUUAUGGGAGGAACUUUAAGGAAUGUCACCUCAACGUCACCGCAGUGAAGGAUCGGCCUGAGACAACAAGUGAUACGAGUCUGAGAAGAAGUCCUCAGGGAAUGAUCGGCCUCUACUCUGCACUGGGACUGACCGCUGUACUGGGUUUUUAUUUAUUUUAUCUCUGCAUGGCAAAAAAUAUUAGAGAUCAACACAACAAACGAACCACAUCUGUAUCUUGGACAUCUUGGAUCUUGUAAAGUGGACGUUACAAUUUAAUUGUGUUGUUGUGCAACUGGUCAGACCGGCCGUCUGAGGAACUAGCUUUUUCCCAGAGCUGUUACAUUACAUUACAGGUCACCCUUUUGAACUCUUUCCCCCCCCUCUGGUCCCCAUUACACUACUCUAUCUGCACUGAAGACACUUUAUACCAUUUGUUUACUCUCAAUUCAAUAUGCACUUAAUAUUUGCACUAGUUUAGCAACCCCUGAUGGUUUCUGUUUAUAUCUCCACAUUUAAUGUGAAUCUGUCUGUUUUGCCUAAUUUAUUACCAAAUAGUACCAUAGGCCAUAAGACAACCUCUGUAUAGUGUUUAAUGUAUCUAUGAUCUGUAUAUACUGUUAUCUAUUAAAAUACUUUCUGUUGCACUGGUUUGAUGCCAAACUGCAUUUCGCUGCUCGCUACUUGUACAUGUGUAAUGACAAUAAAGUUGAAUCUAAUG
Molecule: long non-coding RNA, 2232 nt
Organism: Gasterosteus aculeatus aculeatus (three-spined stickleback)
Lineage: Eukaryota; Metazoa; Chordata; Actinopteri; Perciformes; Gasterosteidae
Source: Ensembl